RNAcentral lists this ribosomal RNA (382 nucleotides) under uncultured Pseudomonas sp. Its description in RNAcentral is "bacterial SSU rRNA". It matches the Rfam family "Bacterial small subunit ribosomal RNA", at positions 1 to 387 of the family's 1533-position model. The record is from RNAcentral. Lineage: Bacteria; Pseudomonadati; Pseudomonadota; Gammaproteobacteria; Pseudomonadales; Pseudomonadaceae.
CAUGGAGUUUGAUCCUGGCUCAGAUUGAACGCUGGCGGCAGGCCUAACACAUGCAAGUCGAGCGGUAGAGAGAAGCUUGCUUCUCUUGAGAGCGGCGGACGGGUGAGUAAUGCCUAGGAAUCUGCCUGGUAGUGGGGGAUAACGCUCGGAAACGGACGCUAAUACCGCAUACGUCCUACGGGAGAAAGCAGGGGACCUUCGGGCCUUGCGCUAUCAGAUGAGCCUAGGUCGGAUUAGCUAGUUGGUGGGGUAAUGGCUCGACCAAGGCGACGAUCCGUAACUGGUCUGAGAGGAUGAUUAGUCACACUGGAACUGAGACACGGUCCAGACUCCGUACGGGAGCAGCGAGUGGGGAAUUUGGACAAGUGGACGCAAGUCUGAU